RNAcentral lists this ribosomal RNA (497 nucleotides) under uncultured bacterium. RNAcentral's name for it is "partial 16S ribosomal RNA". It matches the Rfam family "Bacterial small subunit ribosomal RNA", at positions 28 to 507 of the family's 1533-position model. The record is from RNAcentral.
GAUGAACGCUGGCGGCGUGCCUAAUACAUGCAAGUCGAGCGAACAGACGAGGAGCUUACUCCUCUGACGUUAGCGGCGGACGGGUGAGUAACACGUGGAUAACCUACCUAUAAGACUGGGAUAACUUCGGGAAACCGGAGCUAAUACCGGAUAACAUGUUGAACCGCAUGGUUCAACAGUGAAAGACGGUCUUGCUGUCACUUAUAGAUGGAUCCGCGUCGCAUUAGCUAGUUGGUAAGGUAACGGCUUACCAAGGCAACGAUGCGUAGCCGACCUGAGGGGGGGAUCGGCCACACGGGAACUGAGACACGGACCAGACUCCUACGGGAGGCAGCAGUAGGGAACCUGCCGCAAUGGGCGAAAGCCUGACGGAGCAACGCCGCGUGAGUGAAGAAGGUCUUCGGAUCGUAAAACUCUGUUAUUAGGGAAGAACAAAUGUGUAAGUAACUAUGCACGUCUUGACGGUACCUAAUCAGAAAGCCACGGCUAACUACGUG